GACGAACGCUGGCGGCGUGCCUAAUACAUGCAAGUCGAGCGAGUCUGCCUUGCAGAUCGGAGUGCUUGCACUCUGUGAAACAAGAUACAGGCUAGCGUCGGACGGGUGAGUCACACGUGGGUAACCUGCCCAAGAGAUCGGGAUAACACCUGGAAACAGAUGCUAAUACCGGAUAACAACAGAUGAUGCCUAUCAACUGUUUAAAAGAGGGUUCUGCUAUCACUCUUGGAUGGACCUGCGGUGCAUUGGAUAGUUGGUAGGGUAACGGCCUACCAAGUCGAGUAUGGGUUGACGAGUGGGGAGACGGAUCGGCCACAUGGGAACUGGGACACGGCCAAUGCGCCUACGGGAGGCCGCAGUAGGGAAUCUGCCACAAUGGACGGGAGUAUGAUGGAGCAACGCGGAGUGAGUGAAGGAGGCUUCGGGCUCGGAAAGAUCUGUUGUUGGUGAAGAAGGACAGGGGUAGUAACUGAAGUGUGUUUGACGGUAAUCAAUUAGAAAGUCACGGCUAACUACGUG
This 519-nucleotide ribosomal RNA is filed under the name uncultured bacterium. Its description in RNAcentral is "partial 16S ribosomal RNA". It matches the Rfam family "Bacterial small subunit ribosomal RNA", at positions 28 to 507 of the family's 1533-position model. The record is from RNAcentral.